This 253-nucleotide ribosomal RNA is filed under the name uncultured bacterium. RNAcentral describes it as "partial 16S ribosomal RNA". It matches the Rfam family "Bacterial small subunit ribosomal RNA", at positions 524 to 776 of the family's 1533-position model. The record is from RNAcentral.
UACAGGGGGUGCUAGCGUUGUUCGGAAUCACUGGGCUUAAAGGGUGCGUAGGCGGGUCUUUAAGUCAGGGGUGAAAUCCUGGAGCUCGACUCCAGAACUGCCUUUGAUACUGAAGAUCUUGAGUUCGGGAGAGGUGAGUGGAACUGCGAGUGUAGAGGUGAAAUUCGUAGAUAUUCGCAAGAACACCAGUGGCGAAGGCGGCUCACUGGCCCGAUACUGACGCUGAGGCGCGAAAGCGUGGGGAGCAAACAGG